This 1991-nucleotide ribosomal RNA is filed under the name Parabacteroides distasonis. RNAcentral describes it as "partial 23S ribosomal RNA". It matches the Rfam family "Bacterial large subunit ribosomal RNA", at positions 1 to 1999 of the family's 2925-position model. The record is from RNAcentral. Lineage: Bacteria; Pseudomonadati; Bacteroidota; Bacteroidia; Bacteroidales; Tannerellaceae.
AAAGAAAGUAAGCAAGGGCGCAUGGCGGAUGCCUUGGCUCUCGGAGGCGAUGAAGGACGUGAUAAGCUGCGAUAAGCUUCGGGUAGGUGCAAAUAACCUUUGAUCCGAAGAUUUCCGAAUGGGACAACCCGUCAUUCUGAAGGAAUGACAUCUUGCAUAGCAAGAGGCUAACGCAGGGAACUGAAACAUCUUAGUACCUGCAGGAAAAGAAAAUAAUAAUGAUUCCCCUAGUAGUGGCGAGCGAACGGGGAUUAGCCCAAACCAAUGUUGUUACGGCAAUAUUGGGGUUGUAGGACCACGAUGUCGCAAGAAAUUUAGUGAGAAGAAUUCUUUGGAAAAUGAAACCAUAGACGGUGAUAGUCCGGUAUUCGAAGCUAAACGAAGCGUAGUGGUAUCCUGAGUAGCGCGGGACACGAGGAAUCUUGCGUGAAUCUGCCGGGACCAUCCGGUAAGGCUAAAUACUCCCGAGAGACCGAUAGCGAACCAGUACUGUGAAGGAAAGGUGAAAAGCACUUCGAAUAGAAGAGUGAAAUAGUCCCUGAAACCGUGCGCCUACAAGCGGUCGGAGCAGCGUAAGUUGUGACGGCGUGCCUUUUGCAUAAUGAACCUACGAGUUACUUUUUCCGGCAAGGUUAAGCAUUUCAAAAUGUGUAGCCGAAGCGAAAGCGAGUCUGAACAGGGCGAUUAGUCGGAAGGAGUAGACGCGAAACCAAGUGAUCUACCCUUGGUCAGGUUGAAGGUUAGGUAACACUAACUGGAGGACCGAACCGAUAAGCGUUGAAAAGCUUCCGGAUGAACUGAGGGUGGGGGUGAAAGGCUAAUCAAACUUGGAGAUAGCUCGUACUCCCCGAAAUGCAUUUAGGUGCAGCCUUGGGAAUUACUACUGUGAGGUAGAGCGACUGAUAAGAUGCGAGGGCUUCACCGCCUAUCAAGUCUUGAUAAACUCCGAAUGCGCAGUAGUUCGAUCCCAGGAGUGAGGGCAUGGGUGCUAAGGUCCAUGUCCUAAAGGAGAAGAAUCCGGACCAUCAGCUAAGGUCCCGAAAUAAUUGCUAAGUUGAACUAACGAAGUCAGAUUGCUAAGACAGCUAGGAUGUUGGCUUGGAAGCAGCCAUUCAUUUAAAGAGUGCGUAACAGCUCACUAGUCGAGGAGUUUGGCGUGGAUAAUAAUCGGGCAUCAAGCAAUUUACCGAAGCUAUGGGAUGUUAACUAAACACUAACAUCGGUAGGGGAGCAUUCCACUCUGCGUCGAAGGUGAAGCGUGAGCUUUGCUGGAGCGUGUGGAAAAGCAAAUGUAGGUAUAAGUAACGAUAAAGGGGGUGAGAAACCCCCUCGCCGAAAGACUAAGGUUUCCUGAUCAACGCUAAUCGGAUCAGGGUUAGUCGGGUCCUAAGGCUCAGCCGAACGGUGAGGCCGAUGGCAGAACAGGUUAAUAUUCCUGUACUACCUUAAGGAGUGACGUGGAGACGGAGCAGUGAUAGCGCCGCGGACUGACGGAAUAGUCCGUUGAAGGGUGUAGAUGUUGAUCUUUGCAGGCAAAUCCACAAAGAGAGUCGAACCUGAUAGUAUGGAACGUUCUUCGGAACAAUCCAAUAGUGCGUGUAAACAUACUCCCAAGAAAAUCCGCUAAACUUAAUCUUUAAGGUACCCGUACCGCAAACGGACACACGUAGUCGGGUUGAAUAUACUAAGGCGCUUGAGUGAUUCACGGUUAAGGAACUAGGCAAAUUGACCCUGUAACUUCGGGAUAAAGGGUCCCAACGAGAGUUGGGCGCAGAGAAUAGGUCCAGGCAACUGUUUAACAAAAACACAGGGCUGUGCCAAAUUGAAAGAUUACGUAUACAGCCUGACACCUGCCCGGUGCUGGAAGGUUAAGAGGAGAUGUCAUCGCAAGAGAAGCAUUGAAUUGAAGCCCCAGUAAACGGCGGCCGUAACUAUAACGGUCCUAAGGUAGCGAAAUUCCUUGUCGGGUAAGUUCCGACCUGCACGAAUGG